RNAcentral lists this ribosomal RNA (839 nucleotides) under uncultured bacterium. RNAcentral describes it as "bacterial SSU rRNA". It matches the Rfam family "Bacterial small subunit ribosomal RNA", at positions 56 to 890 of the family's 1533-position model. The record is from RNAcentral.
UGCAGUCCGAGCGGAGAUGAGGUGCUUGCACCUUAUCCUUAGCGGCGGACGGGUGAGUAAUGCUUAGGAAUCUGCCUAUUAGUGGGGGACAACAUUCCGAAAGGAAUGCUAAUACCGCAUACGUCCUACGGGAGAAAGCAGGGGAUCUUCGGACCUUGCGCUAAUAGAUGAGCCUAAGUCGGAUUAGCUAGUUGGUGGGGUAAAGGCCUACCAAGGCGACGAUCUGUAGCGGGUCUGAGAGGAUGAUCCGCCACACUGGGACUGAGACACGGCCCAGACUCCUACGGGAGGCAGCAGUGGGGAAUAUUGGACAAUGGGGGGAACCCUGAUCCAGCCAUGCCGCGUGUGUGAAGAAGGCCUUAUGGUUGUAAAGCACUUUAAGCGAGGAGGAGGCUACUGAGACUAAUACUCUUGGAUAGUGGACGUUACUCGCAGAAUAAGCACCGGCUAACUCUGUGCCAGCAGCCGCGGUAAUACAGAGGGUGCGAGCGUUAAUCGGAUUUACUGGGCGUAAAGCGUGCGUAGGCGGCUUUUUAAGUCGGAUGUGAAAUCCCCGAGCUUAACUUGGGAAUUGCAUUCGAUACUGGGAAGCUAGAGUAUGGGAGAGGAUGGUAGAAUUCCAGGUGCAGCGGUGAAAUGCGUAGAGAUCUGGAGGAAUACCGAUGGCGAAAGCAGCCAUCUGGCCUAAUACUGACGCUGAGGUACGAAGCAUGGGGAGCAAACAGGAUUAGAUACCCUGGUAGUCCAUGCCCGUAACGAUGUCUACUAGCCGUUGGGGCCUUUGAGCUUUAGUGGCGCACUAACGCGAUAAGUAGACCGCCUGGGGGAGUACGGUCGCA